CCUGGGCAUGGUGGCACAUGCCUGUAUUCCUGGCUGCUCGGGAGGCUGAGGCAGGCAGGAGGAUCACUUGAGGCCAGAAGUUCUGGGCUGUAGGGCGCUAUGCUGAUCAGGUGUCUGUACUAAGUUGGGCAUCAGUGUGGUGACCUUCCAGAGCAGAGGAUGACCAGGUUGCCUAAGGAGGGGUGAACUGGCCCAGGUCGGAAAAGGAGCAGGUCAAAACUCCUGUGCUGAUCAGUAGUGGAAUCACGCCUGUGAAUAGCCACUGUACUCCAGCCUGGGCAACAUAGCGAGACCCUCUCUCUU
Non-coding RNA from Pan troglodytes (chimpanzee), 303 nucleotides. It matches the Rfam family "Metazoan signal recognition particle RNA". Rfam says of the family: The signal recognition particle (SRP) is a universally conserved ribonucleoprotein. It is involved in the co-translational targeting of proteins to membranes. NCBI's taxonomy places the organism in Eukaryota, Metazoa, Chordata, Mammalia, Primates, Hominidae. The record is from Rfam.